GUGGAGCUGGGUCUUAGCGUUGAGAUGGAGAUCUCUGGGAGAGCUUUCGCCAUUUGAUAUUACGUGGAGCCAGGAGGUCUCUGGUGGACCAAUGUCCUAACUCGGCUCUCCCAUCUCAGAGGCACAGGCCUGACACCCGGCUGGAGCACCAAGACCCUGUCAGCCCCACGGCUUUGGGGAAGUCUAAGGUUUUCUGCCAGCAUUCAGUAGGUGUUCUGUAGGAGUUGUUCCACAUGUAUAUGUAUUUCUGAUGUAUUUGUGGAGAGGAAGGUGAUCUCCACGUCUUACUCCUCUGCCAUCUUGAAAGUCUCGCCCUCUCAUUGUAGUUUUGAUUUGCAUUCCUCGAAUAAUUAUCUAUGUUGAGCAUCUUUUCAUGUGCCUACUGGCCAUCUGCGUGUCUUAUUUGGAGAAAUGUUUAUUUAGGUCUUCUGCCCAUUUUUGAUUGGGUUGGUUGUUUUUUUGUUAUUGAGUUUUAUGAGCUGCUUGUAUAUUUUGGAAAUUAAGCCCUUGUCAGUCGCAUCAUUUGCAAAUAUUUUCUCCCAGUCUGUAGGUUGUCUUUUCAUUUUGCUUAUGGUUUCCUUUGCUAUGCCAAAGCUUUUACAUUUAAUUAGGUUUAGGUUUAAUUGGGUCCCAUUUGUUUAUUUUGCGUUUGUUUCCUUUGCCUUGGAAGACUGACCUAAGAAAACAUUGCUAUGACUUAUGUCAGAGAAAGUUUUGCCAAUUUUCUCUUCUAGGAGUUUUAUGGUGUCAUGUCUUAUAUUUAAGUCUUUAAGCCAUUUUGAGUUUAUUUUUGCACAGCACGUGAGGGAGUGUUCAAGGCAAGUCUUUUGAGGUGGCGAACAGUUAGCUGGAGGGGACUGCCAGUAGGGGUUCAAAGAAGCCAAGGAAAGUGAGACUUUUUUUGAAGGUGGGAGUGGUCAGCCGUGCCCAGAUGCUUCUGAGAAUUCAAGUGAGAUGUACCUGUGUGUCCCAGCAGGUGAGAACAAAUGAGGUCACAACACCUUACUCAGCCAAAUCUCAAUGGCCCAGGCUCCUCACAAAGUCUGCUCUGCCCACCACUACCGCCAAAUAUAUAUGAAACCCAGGAAAAUAGCAUAUUUUAUUCAACAAAUUCCUGACCUACCUCUGUAAUGCUUUUGCCCCAACAUAUCUGGCUGCGUGUUCUUUGAUUGACUCUCCAUACAACAAUGAUUUUGUAACGUCAUGUUCUAUGAGAGAAGAGAAAAAUAAUUCAUUCUUUCUCUACCCUUUUCUUAUUGGUAGAUUUAAAAACUUUCAGCUUCAUAUCUUAUUAUGGAUAAUGAAAGACAGCUUUUAAGGAUUGUUGUCAAAUUUAGGGAAACUUCCAUCAAACUACUAUUAUGUAUGAGCUGUAAGAUUUGGAAUACUUCCCAAGACUCUCUUCUAGCUUGGUACAUUUCACAUGCGCAUAUCACAUCACAUUAUCGUGAUUCAUUCCAUGGUCCUUCCCACUCCUGUCAGGUCAGUCAGCACGGUGGAUAUUAGGAAUGUUCUAGAAGCCAUUUUGCACCGGGACGGCCAGCAGUAACUCACACGGGAAUGAAUCCAUGCCACACAAAUGCACCCCACCGAACCCAAACUCAGUUCACCUUUAGCUGAAUCCCAAAAAUGCCCACGCCCGCUCCAGUGCCGUUUAACCUAAAGAGAUGGAGGGAAGGUCAGUGUGGAAAGAAGCAGAGGUUUUAGCCAAUUUUGUCUAAAAUAUUUUAUUUUGCAAACUUUACAAACGCAUACGACCACAUGAAUACAUUGCUAGUGUAACCGAAAGUGGGGUCUGGCUGCUGGCCGCUCAAAAGCCAGUAAAGAGUCAAGCUUGGUGGAAAGGAAAGUUUGCUUUAUUUCGGAUGCUUGCAACCAGGAGGAAGGGCAGGUGCCUGUCCAAAGGCCACCUCCGCCCCCCCCACCCCAGCCCCCACCGACAGCUGGUGGGCAGGAGCUUUUAUAGGCAGGAGGGGGCUACCUGCAGAAACAGCACAGUCCGCUCUGACCGUCAUCUUGAAAUUAAUCAUGAGGUGCUCUGAAGGGCGUCAUCUUGAUUGUUUUAAGUACAGUUAAUUUCAGUUCCAGGGUCGGUUUGUUCCCAUUUCCUUGAGGCCAAUUUUCGGAAUUGUAGCAGCUUAUGUCACAGCUACAGCCUGGUCAUCAUGUGGUUGACUUCUUCCACCUGGUGGGUUUCAGUAUCUGCAAGACAGCUCACAGGAUGUGGCUCAGAAUAUUAUCUAUAGCCCUUGAGGAGGAACCAAAGGUCCUUGACUCUGCUUAAUGACUAAACUAUUAUUAUUUGGUCUCCUUUGACUGUUUUCCUUUGUUUCUGCAUUUUCUCAUUUCUCUGAUUAAACUUAUUCUUUGGCUAAAGUUUUUCCACAGACAAAAGACAGGCUGAGGACAUGGGGGGCAUAGACCAUAGGGUCCUGCUCCGUUUCACUAAGACCCUUCCAGAGCCUCAGAAGGGCCGUUGAAGCGUCUCUUGCUGUGGUAGGAAUCACCGCAGAACACGGUGACUUAAAAUGAGAAUAAUCAUUUCAUCAUCUCACACGAUUCUGGAGGUUGACUGGGCUCAGCCAGGCGGCUCUCUCACUCGGGCUCCCUGGGGGCUCGAGUUCAGAUGCUGGCUGGGUCUGGGAUCAUCUCAAAGGGCUCCUCACUCGCGUGUCUCAGGGUGGAUACUGCCUGUCGCUGGGACCUCAGGUCGCAUGUGGGCUAGAGCACCUGUGGCCUCUGCGUGGAUCCUGGGCUUUCUGGAAGUGUAGCAGCCGGCUUCCUAUCUCCUUUAUGACCAAGCCUGGGGAGUCACAAGCAUCACCCCCACCAUAAUCACAGACUUGCUCAGACCGCCAGGGAGGACACAUGGACCCCAGCUUUCAGUGGGAGGAGCGUGACCUCACACCGUGGGAGGAUCACGCGUGAUGGGCGGUCCUGUUGUUGCCAUCGUGGAAAACACCGUCUGCCACGGGGCCCGUGGAAGGGAGGAGCCCUGCAGCUUAAGCUUUCGUCAUUUCUCUGUACAUCUCGAUCUAUUCACUUGUGUUCCCCAAUUCAGCCUUUUCUAUAGCUUCUCAACGGUGCGUCCCUAAAAACUCUUCCUUCUCCUGCCUUAACGCAGAUCAAAUCCUCGGAGUUUGCCCGAGCAGCUUCAAGCACGUCGGCUCUACUGAAGGUCAAGCCAGAGAUUCGUCCUUCCUCCGCCACCCCUGCUGGUGGUGUCAGAACACUCCGGCAUCACUGUGUCUUUGCUAGGAGCGACAAUGAUGGGUGACAGUGAUGCCGUUUGCUAAAGACUGUGUUUUAAGAAUAUCAUCUUUGGCUCUGUCAUCAAGAAUUCAUUUCACUCGCCUGGCACUUGGAGGCAUCUGAGUUUGCAACCCCUGACUGGAGCAAAGAAGCAGAGGACACGGGUUCGAGCCCUGGUCUGGGAAGAUCCCACAUGCCGCGGAGCAGCUAAGCUUGUGCACCACAACUACCGAGCCUGCACUCUAGAGCCCGCGAGCCACAGCUGCUGAGCCCGUGAGCCACAACUACUGAAGCCCGUGAGCCACAACUACUGAAGCCCGCACACCUAGAGCCCGUGCUCCACAACAAGAGAAGGCACAGCGAUGAGAAGCCCGCGCACCGCAACGAAGAGUAGCCCCCGCUCGCCGCAACUAGAGAAAAGCCAGAGUGCAGCAACGAAGACCCAACGCGGCCACAAAUAAAUAAAUUUACUUUUAAAAAGUGGA
Molecule: long non-coding RNA, 3737 nt
Organism: Physeter macrocephalus (sperm whale)
Lineage: Eukaryota; Metazoa; Chordata; Mammalia; Artiodactyla; Physeteridae
Exons: 3
Source: RefSeq, a predicted model, not a curated record